GUAAAUGUGAGCAUGGCAUACAAAAUAC
This 28-nucleotide small RNA is filed under the name Bombyx mori (domestic silkworm). RNAcentral's name for it is "ovarian small RNA-17606". The record is from RNAcentral. Lineage: Eukaryota; Metazoa; Arthropoda; Insecta; Lepidoptera; Bombycidae.